RNAcentral lists this ribosomal RNA (520 nucleotides) under uncultured Ascomycota. Its description in RNAcentral is "SSU rRNA". It matches the Rfam family "Eukaryotic small subunit ribosomal RNA", at positions 20 to 544 of the family's 1831-position model. The record is from RNAcentral. Lineage: Eukaryota; Fungi; Ascomycota.
GUAGUCAUAUGCUUGUCUCAAAGAUUAAGCCAUGCAUGUCUAAGUAUAAGCAAUUAUACCGCGAAACUGCGAAUGGCUCAUUAUAUAAGUUAUCGUUUAUUUGAUAAUACUUUACUACUUGGAUAACCGUGGUAAUUCUAGAGCUAAUACAUGCUAAAAAUCCCGACUUCGGAAGGGUUGUAUUUAUUAGAUUAAAAACCAACGCCCUUCGGGGCUCCUUGGUGAAUCAUAAUAACUUAACGAAUCGCAUGGCCUUGCGCCGGCGAUGGUUCAUUCAAAUUUCUGCCCUAUCAACUUUCGAUGGUAGGAUAGUGGCCUACCAUGGUGGCAACGGGUAACGGGGAAUUAGGGUUCGAUUCCGGAGAGGGAGCCUGAGAAACGGCUACCACAUCCAAGGAAGGCAGCAGGCGCGCAAAUUACCCAAUCCCGAUACGGGGAGGUAGUGACAAUAAAUACUGAUACGGGGCUCUUUUGGGUCUCGUAAUUGGAAUGAGAACAAUUUAAAUCCCUUAACGAGGAA